UUUCGCAAUGCCCGAAAGGGUGACGAAGCGACGCCGCGUGCGGGAAGAAGGCCUUCGGGUUGUAAACCGCUGUCGGGAGUUAAGAAAUGUAAGGAUGUUAAUAGCAUCUUUGCUUGACUAAGGCUCCGGAGGAAGCCACGGCUAACUCUGUGCCAGCAGCCGCGGUAAUACAGAGGCGGCAAGCGUUGUUCGGAAUUAUUGGGCGUAAAGAGCACGUAGGCGGCUAUGUAAGUCGGUUGUGAAAGCCUUCCGCUCAACGGGAGAACAGCAUCCGAUACUGCAUGGCUUGAGUGCGGGAGGGGAGAGUGGAACUUCUGGUGGAGCGGUGAAAUGCGUAGAUAUCAGAAGGAACGCCGGCGGCGAAAGCGGCUCUCUGGCCCAUAACUGACGCUGAGUGUGCGAAAGCUAUGGGAGCAAACGGGAUUAGAUACCCCGGUAGUCCUAGCCGUAAACGAUGGGCACUAAGUAGAGGGGUUUUA
Molecule: ribosomal RNA, 479 nt
Filed under: uncultured bacterium
Lineage: Bacteria
Description: bacterial SSU rRNA
Rfam family: Bacterial small subunit ribosomal RNA
Source: RNAcentral